Molecule: ribosomal RNA, 491 nt
Filed under: bacterium Monkoyo33
Lineage: Bacteria
Description: bacterial SSU rRNA
Rfam family: Bacterial small subunit ribosomal RNA
Source: RNAcentral
UCACUUUUGGAUGGUCCCGCGGCGUAUUAGCUAGAUGGUGGGGUAACGGCUCACCGUGGCAAUGAUACGUAGCCGACCUGAGAGGGUAAUCGGCCUCAUUGGGACUGAGACACGGCCCAAACUCCUACGGGAGGCAGCAGUAGGGAAUCUUCCACAAUGGACGAAAGUCUGAUGGAGCAACGCCGCGUGAGUGAAGAAGGGUUUCGGCUCGUAAAACUCUGUUGUUAAAGAAGAACAUAUCUGAGAGUAACUGUUCAGGUAUUGACGGUAUUUAACCAGAAAGCCACGGCUAACUACGUGCCAGCAGCCGCGGUAAUACGCAGGCGGCAAGCGCUGUCCGGAUUUAUUGGGCGUAAAGCGAGCGCAGGCGGUCUUUUAAGUCCUGAUGUGAACAGCUUCUGCUCAACCGAAGAAGUGCAUCGGAAACUGGGAAACUUGAGUGUCGAAGACGACAUUGGACCCCCAUGUGUAGCGGUGAAACGCGUAUAUUU